Molecule: long non-coding RNA, 5056 nt
Filed under: Piliocolobus tephrosceles (Ugandan red Colobus)
Lineage: Eukaryota; Metazoa; Chordata; Mammalia; Primates; Cercopithecidae
Description: lncRNA (ENSPTEG00000010307.1)
Source: RNAcentral
UAUUAAGCAGGUAGGAAAUGUCAGAGCUAGUGCUAAAAAUAGUGGUAUUAAAAGUAGUGGUACUAAAGGUAGUGGUACAAAAAAUAGUGGUAAUAUAGGUAGUGGUAAUAUAGGUAGUGGUAACAUAAGUAGUGGUAACAUAAGUAGUAGUAACAUAAGUAGUGGUAACAGAGAUAGUGGCAAUAGUGACAAUAGUAGUAACUAUCCCUUGCAAAAAGAAAAUGUGAACAAUCCUAACAACUGUAUAAAAAAAAUUGCACACUCUGAAAAAAACGAAUUUUCAAAUACAUGUGGACUUAUUAAAGGUAAAGAAAAAAAUGAAAAUAUUUUACCUAUACAUGCAAGUAAUGAUUAUAUUAAAAAUGGGUUGUUAACAUUUAGCUCUACACAUAUGGAUGAUAUUUCUACUGAGAAUAGUACUGCUAAUGUUGGUUCUGGUGCAGUACAUAUGGAUAAAAAAGAAAAAAAAAUUAACAAAAUAAAUAAUUUAUUUUUGAAUAAUAAUAAUUUUAAUGAAAAUAAUUUGCAAUAUUCAAAUAAUUAUGUAGAUAUAAAAAAAAAUAUGAAUAGUAAUGGUUGUGGAACGAAUAAUGGCUAUGUGGUUGUACCUAUGAUAAAUAAUAAUGGGUUGUUAAAAAGUAGUGAGAAUAUUGAUGAAGGUAAUAUAUAUGAUAAUUUGAAAGAUUCUGUUUGUGAUAGUAAUGAGAAAAACGGUUAUAAUGAGAAUCAGCAGAAAAGUGUAUUAUCAAGUGAUAUGUGUAUUGGCAUACAAAAUAAGACUAUUAAUAAUAAUAAUAAUAAUAAUAAGACUAAUAAUAAUAAUAAUAAUAAGACUAAUAAUAAUAAGACUAAUAAUAAUAAUAAUAAGACUAAUAAUAAUAAUAAUGGCAUGUAUUAUGUUGAGAAUACAACAUGUAAUAGUAGUGAUAGCACUUAUCUGUACAAUAAUAAAAAUAAUAAUAAAAUGUGUAACAAACCAUUAAAUAAUAAUAACACAAUAAAUGAAAAAAGUUUUUUUAAUAAUUAUGGCAUUAUAAAAUUAAACAAUAGUAAUGUUGAGUAUAUAAAUUCGAAUAUAAAAACUGAUGGAAAAGAAAAAGAAAUUAAUAAAAAUUUGAAUAAAACAAAUAUAAAUUACCAAAUAAAUGAUACAGUUAGUAACAAUACGAUAAAUAUUAAUAAUCCGUUUGAAAAAAGAAUAAUUGAGGAGAAUGAUAAAACUGAAGGGGUAAAGACAAUUACAAACAAUAAAGAGAACAAAACAAAACAAGAACAGAUAAAUUAUAUUUUAACAGAAAUAGAAGAAAAAGAAAAGAUUGGACAGGUUGAUGAUUGUAUUAAUAUAAAUAAGGAUAUGUUUAUUAAAAGUAAUGUUAAUGUAUAUGCACAAGUAAGUAAUGGCGAUAUAGCAAAGAGUCAGAACGGAAUGGAAAUAAACAAUAGUAGUGGUGGUAGUGGUAAAAACAGUGAUGACAAUAUUAAUAACAACAACAGUGGAAAUGACCUUGGAAAUAACAGUGGAAAUGACCUUGGAAAUAACAGUGGAAAUAACAGUGAAAAUAACAGUGGAAAUAACAAUAAUAAUUAUGAACAAGUCAUAAAAAAAACAAUUUUUAAUAACGAAUUAGAUUAUGUUAAAGACGAAACUGUGAGCAGUGAUAUGUUUCAAAGCAAUGAUUCAUUUGUUGUACAAAAUAAAAAUGAUAAGAACAAAAUUGGUUGUAGUGGUAGUGGUUGUAGUGGUAGCAGUGGUAGUGGUUGUAGUGGUAGCAGUGGUAUUGGUUGUAGUGGUAGCAGUGGUAGUGGUUGUAGUGGUAGCAGUGGUAGCAGUGGUAGUGGUAAUAAUGUAUGCUAUAUUGCCACAAAUAAAAAUGAAAGUUGUAAUAAUACGUAUACAGAGGAAAAGGAAAAAUGUGAUGUGAAGCGGAUUGACAUCGUACAUGUUGGAAAAACACAAAUCGAAGUAACACAAACAAGAAAUAAAAAAGGUAAUCCAAAAGAAAAAACACAUUACAAUAUACAUUAUAUGAAUAAUACAUGUAGUAAUAAUACCAUUUUUAAUACUAAUUCCAUUUCAAUGAAUAAUAAAAACGAUGAAGGUUUGACGAUGUAUGCAGGUGCUGGUAUAAGUGGUAAUACUUGUGAUGGUAUAUGUAAUGGUCAGAUAUGCAAUGAUAAUAUAAUAGCAUAUCCAAAUGAACAAUUACAUACUAAACAAUUUAGUCUUGACGAUUUUUCAAAUUUUUACAAUAAUAAAAAUAAAACAAGAUGUAUAAUACCAUGUAAUAAACAGUAUUUACACGAUAGUAGUAUCAAUAAUGUCAUAUUUUGUAAAAAAAAAAGUGAUGGUUUAACAAUAAAUACAAAUAUUGCUUAUAAUAAAAUGGACAUAUUUAAUAAAAAUAAAAAGGAUUGUAAUAUAAUACAUAACAACAGUAAUAACAAUAAUAACAAUAAUAACAAUAAUAACAGUAAUAACAAUAAUAACAAUAAUAUUAAUAACAACAGUAAUAACAAUAAUAUUAAUAAUAACAAUUAUAUUAAUAAUAAAGGGAUACAUAUAAAUAAUUAUACUAAAUUAGUUAAUGCAAAAGAUUGUUCGAAUGGUAAUAAAUGUAGCAGUAAUAAUAAUAGUAGUAAUAGUAAUUAUGUUUUUAAUAAAUGUACCUGUAAUAACUACAUCCAUAAUAACAAUCAGUUAAUAAAUAAAAAUGAAGAAUUAACAUGCACAAAUACAAGUUACAAUAAUUUGGUCAAAGUAUUUUCAACUAAUACAAAAAUAAAUAAUAAAAAUGCAUUAAAUUUAUUACAAGGUCAAGUAACUAAAAAUAUAGAGUGCAUAAAACCAACUACAAAAAAUAUAACAGAAAUGAAAAUAAAUAAUAUAAGUAAUGGACAAAUAGAUAUGCAUACAAAUACGAUUAUAAAAUCAAAAGAAAAUAUGAACAUAUAUGGGAAUAAUCAUACAAAUAUAAAUAAUAAAAUUAACAAUAAAAAUAAUUACUUUAAUAAUAGUAGCUUUCUUACUAAACUAAUAAAUGAAAAUAAUAAUAAAAAACAAAAUAUAAAAAAUGACUAUAUAAAUGAAAGUUUUUGUUUUAUUCCUAAUAAUAACGAAUAUGAGCAAGUAGUUAAAUCGUUAAUACCUUCACAGAUUUGUAAAAGUGUCACUACAACUAACAAUGUAUUAAAUGUUUUUGAUAAUAAAAGUGAUAGACAUCCAUGCAGUGAUAAUAAUAUGUUAAACAAUUUAACAAAUAAAUUAUAUGAUGAAUAUAUAAAUGAAUUUAAUUAUUUUAAAAAUAAAAAAGAACAAACAGAGGGAACAGAGCAAAAAGAAGAAAGAGGGCAAACAAAACAAACAGAACAAACAGAACAAAAAGAACAAACAGAACAAAAAGAACAAACAGAACAAAAAGAGAAAACAGAAGAAAAAGAGAAAACAGAAAACAUGUAUUUAUAUGGAAAUUCUAAGUGUUUGUUAUUAAAAAAUAAAAAUGUAUAUAGUAAGGGUGAUAGCUAUUUUAAUAAUAUUAAUAAAAGUGAAAAUAAUAAUGGUGGUUUUACUAUUGCUGUUAAUAGUGAUACAAAUAGUAAUGAUGGUAAUAUUAUCGAACGUAAUAAAAUAAAUGGUAAUAAUUUUGUAAAUGAUAAAAAUAAAUACGAUGUUAAUAAAAUUGUAAAUGCAAUAAAAUUACGAAACUUAGAAUUUAUGCAAAUAAAUGGUAAUACAAAAAAUGGGACAUAUAUAAGAACAGAAGAACCGUACGAAAAAAAAAAUAAAAACGAAAGUUGCCUAAAUAACGUAUAUAAUAAAAUUGAAAGCGGAAAUAAUAGUUACAAUAAUAAUAGUAGUAAUAGUAAUAGUAAUAUUAGUCGGCAAAAGUUUAUGUAUGUUUUACCUAGCGAUAAAAACAAUAUUGAUGAUAAUUGUAUAUCGAAAGAAUACGACAUUUAUAGAAACAGUAAUAUUAAUUAUUAUUCAUGUAAUAACAAUAAUAAUGUAAGCCAUGUUAUUAAUUCAAACUUUAAUCUGUCGGACUCUGGUGUUUUUACCAAUAACGUCGGUAAUAGUAGUGGCAAUAACGUCGGUAAUAGUAGUGGCAAUAACAUCGGUAAUAGUAUUGGCAAUAAUGUGACUAGCUAUAACAGUAGCAAUAUAAUGGCUAAUAAAAACAAACCUAAUGUUAUAAACAGUUCAAAACAACAUUCUUUUUUUAAUAAUAUUAAUAAUGCGUUAAUUUAUAAUGAUGUAAAGGAUGGUGAACCUGAUCAAUCUGUUGAUAAUUUUGUUAACGAGUCUAAUGUUAAUGAGCUUAAUAGUAAUAUUAUGUUAUAUGAUAAAAAAAAUUAUACUCUUAAUAAGGAAAAAGAAAAAUUAUUUUUUUUUAAUAAUAAAGAUAAUAUAAAUAAUAAAAAGAAUUUAAUAAAUAAUUUGCUCGUAAAUAAUGUUUAUAAAAUUGAUGCAAAUGUAAAUAAGACUUAUACUAGUGAUGCAUAUGCUACUGAUACGUAUGCUACUGAUACGUAUGCUACUGAUACGUAUGCUACUGAUACGUAUGCUACUGAUACAUAUGUUACUGAUACAUGUGAGAAUGACACAUAUAGUAACGAUGUAUAUGUCAACGAUGCAUAUAUAACCAAUGCUUAUACAAAGGGUCUUUAUACAAAUGGUGUUUUUAAUCAUGAUGGAAGCACAGAUACACAUACAGACACACAUACAUAUGUAUACACAGACACAUACCCUGAUACAUACACUGAUUCUUGUACCGAUACAUAUAUUGAUUCAUACAUUGAUGGGUACACCAAUGCAUCCUCUAAUACAUAUCCUAAAAGAAAUGUAAAAAUACAAAACAACAAUAAUAAUAAUAACAUAAAUAAUAAUAAUAACAUAAAUAAUAAUAAUAACAUAAAUAAAAGUGAGCUAAAAUUUUAUGAUUAUAUAAAAGAUAGAUUUAAUUUUUUUGAUUCAUUUGAAGACAAUCAUACCACACUCACAUCUUCAAAUUCGCCUUUUUAUAAUUAUAAUUUAUUAAAAAAAUGUGGAAAAAAAUAA